CCUACGGGUGGCAGCAGUGGGGAAUAUUGGGCAAUGGGCGCAAGCCUGACCCAGCAACGCCGCGUGAAGGAAGAAGGCUUUCGGGUUGUAAACUUCUUUUCUGAGGGACGAAGAAAGUGACGGUACCUCAGGAAUAAGCCACGGUUAACUACGUGCCAGCAGCGGCUGUAAUACGUAGGUGGCAAGCGUUAUCCGGAUUUAUUGGGGUGAAAGGGCGUGUAGGUGGGCAAGCAAGUCAGAUGUGAAAACUCAGGGCUCAACCCUGAGCCUGCAUUUGAAACUGGUUGUCUUGAGUGCUGGAGAGGCAAUCGGAAUUCCGUGUGGAGCGGUGAAAUGCGUAGAUAUACGGAGGAACACCAGUGGCGAAGGCGGAUUGCUGGACAGUAACUGACGCUGAGGCGCGAAAGCGUGGGGAGCAAACAGGAUUAGAUACCCCUGUAGUC
Molecule: ribosomal RNA, 443 nt
Filed under: uncultured bacterium
Lineage: Bacteria
Description: partial 16S ribosomal RNA
Rfam family: Bacterial small subunit ribosomal RNA
Source: RNAcentral